This is an RNA transcript of Erpetoichthys calabaricus (reedfish), 3530 nucleotides long. It is a transcript of the gene named solute carrier family 11 member 2, with no coding region annotated. The transcript has 17 exons. The record is from RefSeq and is a predicted model, not a curated record. Lineage: Eukaryota; Metazoa; Chordata; Cladistia; Polypteriformes; Polypteridae.
UGGACUUUGAGGCGUCUGUGUGCGCGCCCAUGACAGGCAGACCGGCGCUGUUAGCUCCUCCUCCACGAUGUUACCGUGAGCCUACUUUCAGGAUGCCGCCGUUUUUUUCCCUAGUUGACAUUGGCUAACAUCGGCGUGUGACGAGGGCGGGACAGGGGCUGUCACUUUUGCUUGUGCUACCUCAGUGUCGCCGCUGCCGUGGUCACCAUGCCUCCUGUCCAGGACUCUGCUCAGCCUAAUGCAGAUGCUGAGAUGGCAUGCGAUGAAGCUGAUGGUUUGGAUUCUCCCAUGGGAUCCCGGGAGUUCUCCGAACCUCCCCUGUCUACGUACUUCGAGGAGAAGGUGCCCAUUCCAGAAGAUUCCAAGGAUGGCUUCAGCUUUCGGAAGCUUUGGGCAUUUACGGGGCCUGGAUUUCUCAUGAGCAUUGCUUACCUGGAUCCAGGAAACAUCGAGUCAGACCUGCAGUCUGGUGCCAAGGCUGGCUUCAAGCUCCUCUGGGUUUUGCUGUUUGCUACUGUGAUUGGUCUCUUGCUGCAGAGACUGGCUGCUAGGCUAGGUGUGGUGACCGGUAUGCAUUUAGCAGAAGUGUGUCACCGCCAGUACCCCAAGGUCCCUCGCAUUAUCUUGUGGCUUAUGGUUGAGACGGCUAUUAUCGGUUCAGACAUGCAGGAGGUCAUCGGCUGUGCUAUCGCCUUCAACCUGCUUUCCUCGGGCAGGAUUCCUCUGUGGGGUGGAGUUCUCAUCACCAUUAUUGAUACGUUUAUGUUUCUUUUCCUGGACAAGUAUGGCUUGAGGAAGUUGGAAGCCUUCUUUGGCCUUCUCAUUACCAUUAUGGCACUCACAUUUGGGUACGAGUAUGUGAUUGCCAAGCCUGACCAGGGCCAGCUGCUGAAGGGCAUGUUCCUUCCUUACUGUCAGGGCUGUGGAGCCCCUCAGCUAGAGCAGGCUGUGGGCAUCGUAGGAGCCGUCAUCAUGCCUCACAACAUAUACCUGCACUCUGCUCUAGUCAAGUCUCGGGAAAUAAAUCGAUCUAACAAGAAGGAAGUGAAGGAGGCAAACAAAUACUUCUUCAUUGAGUCCUGCAUUGCGCUGUUUGUCUCCUUCCUCAUCAAUGUCUUUGUCGUGGCUGUCUUUGCCCAGGCCUUUUUCAAUAAGAAAAACAGUGAUGUGCAUGCAAUCUGUGCCAACAGCACUGGCCCCCACAGCCCUCACUCUGCCCUUUUUCCAGAUGAUAACAAGACACUGGAGGUUGACAUCUACAAAGGGGGGGUGGUUCUUGGCUGCUUUUUUGGACCUGCUGCCCUCUACAUAUGGGCCUUGGGAAUACUAGCAGCUGGACAGAGCUCAACAAUGACGGGCACCUACUCUGGCCAGUUUGUCAUGGAAGGCUUCCUGAAUCUAAACUGGUCUCGUUUUGCAAGAGUCCUUCUUACUCGGUCCAUUGCCAUCACGCCAACCUUGCUGGUUGCCAUCUUCCAGGAUGUUGAGCACCUGACUGGCAUGAAUGACUUUCUCAAUGUGCUGCAGAGCAUGCAGCUGCCGUUUGCAUUGAUCCCAAUACUCACUUUCACCAGUCUUGGUUCCAUCAUGGAUGACUUUGCCAACUCGCUGGCCUGGAAGAUCGGCGGUGGAGUGGUCAUCCUGGUAGUGUGUGCGAUCAACAUGUACUUUGUUAUAGUGUAUGUGACCAGUCUGGCCAAUGUUACGCUUUACGUGGUAGCUGCCCUCCUCUCUGUGGCAUACUUGCUGUUUGUUGGCUAUCUGGUGUGGCUGUGCCUGGUUGCAUUGGGGGUCUCCUGCCUGGACAUGGGGCACAGGGUAAGGGACAAUCACAUGGUGUUUACUGAGGAGCCGUCAGAGACAGACACUUGAGCCGAACGUUUGGGAAGAGGCGGCGAUGCUAGUAGAUGCCGUUUCGGAGAACUCCAGUGCAGACUUUUUCUUUCUUUUUUUUUUUUUAACACUAUGCGUCCAUUUCCUUGUGAGAAGCUGCUAUGAGACACAAACUCCAGAAGCUUGCUGGCCACCCGUUCUGUCGGGGCUGUGCCCGGAGGUCCAUUUUUGGGCAUGUUACAGAGCUCCUCUGCGUGUCCAUUCAGGUGGGCUGACCACCUGUUAAGUAUAGACUAGAUUCAGUAGGGUCAGUUUGCCACAGUGGUCACUCAGUUAAGAGCCAUGGGGGACACACAGCCAGAUGGCCGGCUGGGGUGGCCUUUGUGUCUCAUUUUUAUUGCUGGAGAAAACUGUGCAAUAUGUAAAGGUGCCCAAUAAAGUGUCUUGUGUCCACCCGGGCAGCACUUGAGGCUUUUGUGUGUUCACUUCAGGAGAGAGAUGUGGCCCCGGCGUAUCGCUCAGCGGUGGCUUCAACGCAUGAAAUAAAUGGUGUCUGCCUCGCACUGAGCUUCUCCUCCUGUCCUCUCUGCCUGCCACACCAUCUUGUUUGUCAUUUCUCUUGCUUGCCUACUCACUAACCUCCUGGUCACUGCUCUUUGACGCCCCCCCCCGUCGUCUUCUUGAACGUGACUUUGUCACCUUAUGAGUUCUUCUAUGCUACAUGUGAAUCUCGCUGGCUGUCCCCCAUUGCCUGUGUCACUGGUCUGUCCUCCCCGACCACCUCCACCACAUCUCUCACUGGACUUGUGUUCACGGGAGGCCAAGGAUUGCCUGGACGCUUGAUUUGGUGUUUAUCAGCUGGUCAUCACCCCACGGACACAGAAUGUCAAUUUGGGCCACCCAACAGAUGACUUCCAUGCUUGCGGCCGGACUGUCCUGGUAUGCCACACUCCGGUGAGCACGCAGCUUGCACCCGUUGUGUCUCACUGGCCACUCCGACCUCCUCCUCCUCAACGAUUUAGAGCCCAGCCCCGGUGUGGACAGAUAGUGACCCUUGGCGCUCUCCUUCUGGAUGUGUCUCUGUUGCUCAGUAGGGGCACAGCCUCAGGUGUAUACCCUCUUGUCCAGGCCAGUUGGUUUGGUGGUGGCACACUUCUCUCUCUUUCUUUCUCUCUGGUAUUUUUUUUUCCCAUUGAUAUGCCCAUUUUCCUCUUUCCCAUUACUGGUCUCAGUUGGUUGACCAUUGCUCGUUCCAUAAAUGUGCCAGCCAGUUUCUCUCAAGGGUCAGCCGUGGUCCAAAUAAGUGGCUACAGUAGGCAUUUGACUUGGCCCGGCAAGCAUCUUCAAACAAGGCCCCUGGCUACUGUCAGUCCUUUGGGGCAAACGCUGCCUGAAAGUGCCCAUGAAGAGGAGUUGGUCACACAGUGCUGACGGUGUGGCCUGGACAACCUCGUUACCCUGACACCUGCAACAGUCCAUCCUACGAGGUACUUCACUGGUCCCCUGCUGGUCAGGGAUGGCAGGACCAGGCAAAAGCCACCAAGGACGAGUCUGGCGAUGGCUGACGUGAGAGGAGGGCCUGGACAUUGUGCUGGGAGUGCAGCUUUCUUACAAGGUUGAUUAUUGUCUAUGGAAUGUCCUACCCACGCUUGACGUUGGUCCCUGUCCACCUAAAAUUAAAAGGAAGUCCUCUUGUA